GUGAGGAAUAUUGGUCAAUGGGCGAGAGCCUGAACCAGCCAAAUCGCGUGAAGGAUGAAGGUAUUAUGUAUUGUAAACUUCUUUUAUCGGGGAAUAAAGUGCGGGACGUGUCCCGUUUUGUAUGUACCCGAAGAAUAAGGAUCGGCUAACUCCGUGCCAGCAGCCGCGGUAAUACGGAGGAUCCAAGCGUUAUCCGGAUUUAUUGGGUUUAAAGGGUGCGUAGGCGGACUGUCAAGUCAGCGGUGAAAGUCCAUGGCUCAACCAUGGAAUUGCCGUUGAAACUGUCGGUCUUGAGUGUAGAUGAGGUAGGCGGAAUUCGUAGUGUAGCGGUGAAAUGCUUAGAUAUUACGAAGAACUCCAAUUGCGUAGGCAGCUUACCAGGCUACAACUGACGCUGAGGCACGAAGGUGCGGGGAUCAAACAGGAUUAGAAACCCUUGUAGUCC
Molecule: ribosomal RNA, 445 nt
Filed under: uncultured bacterium
Lineage: Bacteria
Description: partial 16S ribosomal RNA
Rfam family: Bacterial small subunit ribosomal RNA
Source: RNAcentral